UGACUUGACAAUCAACUAAACAAUUGUUUCUAGUUUAGCUAAGGGUUUGUUAAGAUAUGGUCAAUGUUAACAUUUUGAGAUUGGAAUGUUGUUUUGUUAACCCAGUGACUUUUCAGUAAACCUAUAGACCAUGGAGUCUGAAUGGCUUAAGUGGCAUUAAAUUUGAUGAUGGAUAGAUGUCAGGAAAUGGAUGGUAAAAGCACACCUGUGACAAGAGUAAUGAAGUACUUGACAUGCAUGGUGGAAGUUGAUCGAGACUAUCAAUUCUUCGAGAGGUCCAGCGACUUUAUACUCGCAAGAAGGAUAUGGUAUGGAAUAGCUUUCUACACCUCUGGGCUGGCAGAUUUGUAAGAUUGGAAGUUGUUUCAGUGUGGAGAGAGAUGAACACUUUGUAUGGUCAGGUAAAAUUUGCUUUUGAAGUCACAAGUAAGUCUCAAUAAAGGCAUUUCCAUUUCUAGUUUUCUAACUAGCUAUGUAUUGGAAAGUUGGUGGUUCUACUCUUAAAAGGUGUCUGUCUUUGUCCCAAGUAAGUCUCAAUAAAGCCAUUUCCAUUUCUUGUUUUCUAACUAGCUAUGUAUUGGAAAGUUGGUGGUUCUACUCUUAAAAGGUGUCUUGUCUUUGUCCGGAACAAUGUCAUUAAGGCACAUUUUCCUCUACCUUGAAAGCUUGACAGUCACCAAAAUAGAAUGUAGAAUUGUAUCUGUUAAAUAGAAAAAUUGCUUAGGUAACAUUGUUACUUUUUGAGAUUGCAAUGUUGUUCUGUUAACCCCAGUGACAUUUCAGUGAACCCUUGCAACAUGUUGGCUGGAUUUAUGUCGGAAUGUGUGUGGCUGUGUGAUAUUGGCGAAGUGAUUUUUAUGACAUUGGUGAAGUGUGAUUGUGCUGGAAAGUGACAUGAUGGAGCAUUGUAAACCUAUAGACCAUGGAGUCUGAAUGGCUUAAGUGGCAUUAAAUGUGAUGAUGGAUAGAUGUCAGGAAAUGGAUGGUAAAAG
This is a long non-coding RNA of Ruditapes philippinarum (Manila clam), 992 nucleotides long. RefSeq lists it as uncharacterized. The record is from RefSeq and is a predicted model, not a curated record. NCBI's taxonomy places the organism in Eukaryota, Metazoa, Mollusca, Bivalvia, Venerida, Veneridae. The transcript is spliced from 2 exons.